CUUUCCUGCUUCCUCACCCGCUGUAGCAAGCAGGUGUGGAGUCGAGUCGGAGGCAGGCGCUGGCUGCGUGGACCCCCGGGUGGGAUUCCACCCGCGACAAGGCACCCAGGCCCUUUGGGCGGGGCUCCCCUGGGGUCCGCGUCCCCGCCGCCUCCCCCGGGCCUCUGCUGGGCUGGCUGGAGGCAGGAGGCCCCGGUUAGCAGGGCCAGCAUCCUGAGCCCCACCUGCAGGCCCUGGGCGCUUUCCUCCUGGCAGCUGUGCCCCCACCCGACCGGACCGCUCCCUGCAACCAGAGAGCCCUCACACCAGCAACACCCCCCAGCCUGCUCCCUCCUCGUGUGCGCGAAACUCAUGGCACUGGCUUGACGGCUUUCUCUGAAACCCUCUGAUUCCGCCUGGCCCAUCCACACUGUCCCUUCCCGGCCAGGGCUCAUCUCCUAUGCCUGGACCAAACAGCGUAGUCUCCAGUCUCCCUGAUCUCCCCACACGUGGCCCCACCCAUCCUCUGAAGCAGCCCCAGGAGGCAGCAGUGACUUCACACUUCUAGUGCCCGGCCCUCCCGGCCCUCCUCUCUGGGCUUGCUUGCCAGGGUCCUCCCAACCUGACUGCUGCCUCCCACCUCCUCUCCGCCCCUGGAGCUCUCCAGCCGCAGCCGCGGGGCCUGCUUGGGAUUCUCCUCUGCUGGCAUCAUCCCUGCCUGCCUCAGCCUUCCCAGGCCCAAUCCUGCCCGAUCUCACCUCUUCCCGCCCAGCCACCUGGUCGGGUCCCGACCAGCAUCUGCCUUCAAACCUGGAGUCCUUCCCUGAGUGCUUGCGGUGCACUGUGAGGAAGGAAAUCAAUGUAAAGGAUUAUGACCCACAUUUUUUAAAAAUAAAAAGAUUAAGGAGAACAGCAUAGAGUAGAAGUGGUCAUCGCACACUUCUGCAAAACUUUUGUUUCUCAGGUGGAUGGAGGAG
This 956-nucleotide long non-coding RNA is filed under the name Homo sapiens (human). RNAcentral describes it as "non-protein coding lnc-SLC19A1-7:5". Lineage: Eukaryota; Metazoa; Chordata; Mammalia; Primates; Hominidae. The record is from RNAcentral.